This is an RNA transcript of Arachis duranensis, 913 nucleotides long. RefSeq lists it as uncharacterized. Lineage: Eukaryota; Viridiplantae; Streptophyta; Magnoliopsida; Fabales; Fabaceae. The transcript is spliced from 2 exons. The record is from RefSeq and is a predicted model, not a curated record.
CCUAAAACCCUACCCGGUUACCCGGUUCCCUUGAACCAAAACACACAAUGCGCACCUAACCCUACAGUAGCAGCAGCUGCAAGCUGAACGAAGGAAAGAAAGAGGGGGAAGCAGGGGAGGGGUUCCCUGGAAGCAGAUUGAGGGAGAAGAAGAGAGGGGGCGAUCUCUAAUUGUUGAAUGGAGGAGAGCGAAGGGGACCUCGCUGCCGUGCUCAGCCCACUGCGCCUCGCCGCCAGUGCCGUCAAUGUCACCAUCGAUGGAGGAGAAGGGAGAGAGCGCUCGCGAGGAGCUGCUGCAGAAGCCACCGCCGUGCAUCCUCGUGCCGUCGCUGGAGAUCUGGCCGUCGUCGUUGAUCAUCCUUGCGCCGCGUCGGAGACAGAACUACGAACUGAAGGGAGCGCGACCCACAGCCACCAACAGAGAAGCAAGAGUGCGGGGAAAGUGAAGCCACCACUGUCACCGUCGCCUGUGGAGCCGCUGCCGCACUUGACCUCCAUUGCUGUUGCACUUUUACCGCCGCCAUUCUUGCCGCUGGUAAGCUGCGUCGGAAGGAAAGCGCCGCCGCCGUGCCCUGUUAGAACUUCUGGAGCCGCGUUGGAGCUUGCUGCGAAAAAAAAAGGACGAGAUUAGGGCUAGCGCUUUUGUGCCUGGUAAGGUCCUACAACAGCUGCUGCUCUUGCUCCAUUUUGGUUUAUUCUGCCUCUGUUUAAUGGUUAUCCUUGGUGCCGUUCUGUCCGUUAGAGCUGUUGUUGUCGAUUUGGAGUUGCUGCGGGAUGGGGCCACUAGGAGAGUAUUGCUGCUACUGAACCACGGGCUCUGCGGCCGAGACUCUGCCAUUGAAGAACACUCUUCCAAGCUUCUAGCUGCCGCCGGAGCUGUUGCCGGGCCUAUUCGAAAUCGUAGCUGCCUAAUU